AAGGGCACCACAAGAACGCGUGGAGCAUGUGGCUUAAUUUGACUCAACGCGGGAAAUCUUACCGGGUCCGGACACACUGAGGAUUGACAGACAAUCACACUAUCUUAUGUAUAUUUAUUUAUGCGUAAGUAGUGUCAAACAAAGAUGCUAGUUCUUUCAUGAUUAUGUGAUAGGUGGUGCAUGGCCGUUCUUAGUUCGUGGAGUGAUCUGUCUGCUUAAUUGCGUUUCACAAUUAAAAUACGAAUAUACGCAUUAAUGAUUGCUUGACCCCAUAAAUUUAUUUUUAUGCGCUGCGUCUCGUAUCUUAUAUGCAUUCGUUAUUUCGAAAGCAACGAACGUGACCGUAUCCUUUUGUUAAAUGUAUAUAUACAUUUUAAAAACUAAAGGGACCGCUGUUUCUUUCUUAAACCAGAGGAAGGUUACGGCAAUAACAGGUCUGUGAUGCCCUUAGAUGUUCCGGGCUGCACACGUGCUACAAUGAUUAUUUCAGUAAGUAUCUCAUUAUAAAUAGAAUGUACUUUACGUACAUCUAAAUCCUACCUCGAAAGUAAGGUGGGUAAUCAAUUAGAAGUAAUGAUUUCCUAAAUAUUUUGUACAAAAAUAUACAGCGUAUUCAUAUCCCAUAAAGGCUCUAAGUCUGCAUGCGUGUGUAUGAUACGUAAAUAUUACUUUUAUGUAUUAUUUUUUCUGUAUGUACAAUUGUUAAUUCAUGGUGGGGACAGACCAUUGUUAAUUAUUGGUCUCGGUCUUAACUAGGAAUGCCUUGUACGGGUCUUUGGUUCAUCAAACCACCCGGAAUACGUCCCUGCCCUUUGUACACACCGCCCGUCGCUCUUACCGAUGAACUUUACUAUGAAUUUGAGGGAAAGACCUUUGAGUCGCAAACUUAAAUGAAUAGUGUGGUUUAAAGGAAAGAGAAGU
RNAcentral lists this ribosomal RNA (921 nucleotides) under Buccella frigida. RNAcentral's name for it is "SSU rRNA". It matches the Rfam family "Eukaryotic small subunit ribosomal RNA", at positions 1160 to 1789 of the family's 1831-position model. Lineage: Eukaryota; Foraminifera; Rotaliida; Trichohyalidae. The record is from RNAcentral.